Molecule: ribosomal RNA, 468 nt
Filed under: uncultured bacterium
Lineage: Bacteria
Description: partial 16S ribosomal RNA
Rfam family: Bacterial small subunit ribosomal RNA
Source: RNAcentral
GACGAACGCUGGCGGCGUGCUUAACACAUGCAAGUCGAGCGGAAAGGCCCUGCUUUUGCGGGGUGCUCGAGUGGCGAACGGGUGUGUAACACGUGAGUAACCUGCCCUUGACUUUGGGAUAACUUGAGGAAACUGGGGCUACUACCGGCUAGGAGCUCCUGCUGCAUGGUGGGGGUUGGAAAGUUUCGGUGGUGGGGGGUGGACUCGCGGCUUAUCAGCUUGUUGGUGGGGUAGUGGCUUACCAAGGCUUCGACGGGUAGCCGGCCUGGGAGGUGGGACGGCCACAAUGGGACUGAGAGACGGCGCAGUCGGCUACGGGAGGCAGCAGUGGGGAAUAUUGCACAAUGGGCGGAAGCCUGAUGAAGCAACGCCGGGUGCGGGAUGACGGCCUUCGGGUUGUAAACCGCUGUCGCCUGAGACGAAGCGGGAGUGACGGUAAUGGGUAAAGAAGCACCGGCUAACUACGUG